AACGCCCAUCUCCUUCGGCACUGACUGUCUUUUCCCUCCAAUUGAUUGUCACGUCUGCGGCGGUUUUCCUAAGACUAGGGUAAAGGGAGGACGAUAUUAAUAUCACAAAACUCGACAGUGAAUGAGUUUACAUAUGCCCAGAGAUAUCUUCGUCGGGAUUGCUCGAAAUUGAAGGUGUUCUUAGGGUUUCGGUUGAACAUUUCUCAAGCUGGGCAUCUUGGUGGAAGCAGUCAUCAUAGGAUCCUCGAGGGCUGAAUCCGUGUGGUAAAAGUAGAGUGGUCUGUGAGUGGAGACAGUUAUGGCUUUGGUAGAAGUUGGUAAAGAAGAGUCUCUAGUGGGUCUAGAUAAGGAUGAGGAAGUUGAAUUUGUCUGGGGUAGAAAGAGAGGUAUUGGUGGUAAGAGAAAGGAGGUGCAGUUUUAUGAAUCUUUUAUCUAUGAUGGUGUGGAGUAUACUUUAUAUGACUGUGUAUACAUGCACAAAGAAGGUGAACAUCCUUACAUUGGUAAGAUCAUAAAGAUAUGGGAAAAUCCAGACAAGUCUAGGAAGGUAAAGAUCCAGUGGUUUUUUCGGUCGACAGAGAUCUUGUAUCACCUGAAA
Molecule: unclassified non-coding RNA, 598 nt
Filed under: Hevea brasiliensis (rubber tree)
Lineage: Eukaryota; Viridiplantae; Streptophyta; Magnoliopsida; Malpighiales; Euphorbiaceae
Source: RNAcentral